RNAcentral lists this long non-coding RNA (574 nucleotides) under Parus major (Great Tit). RNAcentral's name for it is "lncRNA (ENSPMJG00000018879.1)". Lineage: Eukaryota; Metazoa; Chordata; Aves; Passeriformes; Paridae. The record is from RNAcentral.
GUGACUGCUCUGAAGUGAAAGCAACUGUUCAGAGAGAGAGAGAGAGCUGAAGCAAUGUUGUGGGAACUGCUCUGCAGGGCCUAGCCCAUGGUGAUGGGAGCCAUGCACACCUUCUUCAGGAGGUGUUUGGGACCAUGGAGUCACCCAGUCCACCCUCCCUGCUCCGGGAUGGAGUUUGGCAUGUCUGGAGUGCAGAGUGGUACCUGGGGUUUGUGUUCAUUGGUUCCAUCUGGGCUCUGAGCCACGGACUCAACGUGUAACCUCUGCUUCUGUGUCCUCACUGAUACAGGCUCAAGGGGAAAACAUCCAUUUCUGUGCUAAAGACAAGGCUGCAGGAACAGAAGAGCUGCAUCUUGGAAGAAAGGUGUUGCUGCUGUCAGGAUGUGCCCCAGCAAGAAGAGAAAAUGAGCACCUCGAGCUCGAGCGCUGCCAACUGCAGGAUGGCUGGAGUUGGGUGUUCUGCUCACAGACAGAAGAAAACCACUUCAAGACAUCAAGGUGACUAUUCCUCUUACAGCUGAAGAAGAGCCAACUGAGCCUAAUCCCAUUUUCCCUAGGACCUGGCAGCCAUUCA